RNAcentral lists this unclassified non-coding RNA (225 nucleotides) under uncultured fungus. Its description in RNAcentral is "sequence contains ITS1, 5.8S rRNA gene". The stretch from base 177 to 225 matches the Rfam family "5.8S ribosomal RNA", at positions 1 to 49 of the family's 154-position model. The record is from RNAcentral. Lineage: Eukaryota; Fungi.
UCUCCGUUGGUGAACCAGCGGAGGGAUCAUUACUGAGUGAGGGCUUCGGUCCGACCUCCAACCCUUUGUGAACCAAACUUGUUGCUUCGGGGGCGACCCUGCCGUUCGGCGCGGCGCCCCCGGAGGCUCAUCAAACACUGCAUCUUUGCGUCGGAGUCUUAAAGAAAUUUAAACAAAACUUUCAAUAACGGAUCUCUUGGUUCUGGCAUCGAUGAAGAACGCAGC